This is a long non-coding RNA of Cygnus olor (mute swan), 224 nucleotides long. RefSeq lists it as uncharacterized. NCBI's taxonomy places the organism in Eukaryota, Metazoa, Chordata, Aves, Anseriformes, Anatidae. The record is from RefSeq and is a predicted model, not a curated record. The transcript has 3 exons.
CACAACCUCUUUGGGCAACCUGUUCCAGUGCCUCACCACCCUCUGAGUGAAGAAUUUCCUCCUAACCUCUAAUCUAAAUCUCCCCUCUUUUAGUUAAAACCAUUCCCCCUUGUCAUGCCGUUAUCUGAUUGAGCAAGGAGUUGCUCUCCAUCUUUUUUAUAAGUUCCCUUUAAGUACUGAAAAGCCACAAUGAAGAAGAUAAAGCUCAAGGGAGACCUUAUUGC